This 492-nucleotide ribosomal RNA is filed under the name uncultured bacterium. RNAcentral describes it as "partial 16S ribosomal RNA". It matches the Rfam family "Bacterial small subunit ribosomal RNA", at positions 29 to 507 of the family's 1533-position model. The record is from RNAcentral.
AGUGAACGCUGGCGGUAGGCCUAACGCAUGCAAGUCGAACGGCAGCACAGUAAGAGCUUGCUCUUACGGGUGGCGAGUGGCGGACGGGUGAGGAAUACAUCGGAAUCUACUUUUUCGUGGGGGAUAACGUAGGGAAACUUACGCUAAUACCGCAUACGACCUACGGGUGAAAGCAGGGGAUCUUCGGACCUUGCGCGAUUGAAUGGGCCGAUGUCGGAUUAGCUAGUUGGCGGGGUAAAGGCCCACCAAGGCGACGAUCCGUAGCUGGUCUGAGAGGAUGAUCAGCCACACUGGAACUGAGACACGGUCCAGACUCCUACGGGAGGCAGCAGUGGGGAAUAUUGGACAAUGGGCGCAAGCCUGAUCCAGCCAUACCGCGUGGGUGAAGAAGGCCUUCGGGUUGUAAAGCCCUUUUGUUGGGAAAGAAAAGCAGCAGGUUAAUACCCCGCUGUUCUGACGGUACCCAAAGAAUAAGCACCGGCUAACUUCGUG